Molecule: non-coding RNA, 74 nt
Organism: Cucurbita maxima (winter squash)
Lineage: Eukaryota; Viridiplantae; Streptophyta; Magnoliopsida; Cucurbitales; Cucurbitaceae
Source: the annotation of a RefSeq genome assembly
GUCUGGGUGGUGUAGUUGGUUAUCACGCUAGUCUUAUACACUUGAGGUCCCUAGUUCAAACCUGGUCUCAAACA